Molecule: ribosomal RNA, 497 nt
Filed under: uncultured bacterium
Lineage: Bacteria
Description: partial 16S ribosomal RNA
Rfam family: Bacterial small subunit ribosomal RNA
Source: RNAcentral
GACGAACGCUGGCGGCGUGCCUAAUACAUGCAAGUCGAGCGCUCAGAGGUGGUACUUGUACCAACUGCAUUAGCAGCGGACGGGUGAGUAACACGUGGAUAAUCUGCCUUUGAGCGUGGGACAACUUUGGGAAACGAAUGCUAAUACCGCAUAAUAUCUUUAAACACAAGUUUUAAUUUUGAAAGAUGCAAUUGCUUUACUCAAUAGAUAGCUCGCGUUGUAUUAGGUUGUUGGUGAGGUAAACGGGCACCCAGGCGAUGAUAGAUUGGCGAACUGGGGGGGUGGUCCGCCCACAUGGGAAUGAGAAAAGGGCCAAAACCCUUAGGGGAGCAGCAGUAGGGAAACCUCGGCAAAGGGGGAAAGUCUGACCGAGCAAAGCCGGGUGAGUGAAGAAGGGUUUCGGAUCGUAAAAAUCUGGUGGUAGGGAAGAAAGAUAGGGAGAAUGGAAAGUGCACGAAGUGACGGUACCUAAUCAGAAAGGGACGGCUAACUACGUG